This 440-nucleotide ribosomal RNA is filed under the name uncultured bacterium. RNAcentral describes it as "partial 16S ribosomal RNA". It matches the Rfam family "Bacterial small subunit ribosomal RNA", at positions 338 to 795 of the family's 1533-position model. The record is from RNAcentral.
CCUACGGGAGGCAGCAGUGGGGAAUAUUGCGCAAUGGAGGAAACUCUGAUGCAGCGACGCCGCGCGAGUGAUGAAGGAUUUCGGUAUGUAAAGCUCUAUCAGCAGGGAAGAAAAUGACGGUGGUUGAUUAAGAAUAACCGGCUAACUACUUCGCAGCAGCAGCGGUAAUACGUAGGAGGAAGGCGUUAUCCGGCUUGACUGGGUGUAAAGGGGGCGUAGACGGCAGAACAAGUAUGGAGUGAAAUGCCGGGGCUUAACCCCGGAACUACUUUUGAAACUGUGCGGCUAGAGUGCAGGAGAGGCAAGCGGAAUUCCUAGUGUAGCGGUGAAAUGCGUAGAUAUUAGGAGGAACACCAGUGGCGAAGGCGGGUUACUGGACUGUAACUGACGUUGAGGCUCGAAAGCGUGGGGAGCAAACAGGAUUAGAUACCCGAGUAGUC